This 385-nucleotide ribosomal RNA is filed under the name uncultured bacterium. Its description in RNAcentral is "bacterial SSU rRNA". It matches the Rfam family "Bacterial small subunit ribosomal RNA", at positions 28 to 418 of the family's 1533-position model. The record is from RNAcentral.
GACGAACGCUGGCGGCGUGCUUAACACAUGCAAGUCGAGCGGAAAGGCCCUUCGGGGUACUCGAGCGGCGAACGGGUGAGUAACACGUGAGCAACCUGCCCUGGACUUUGGGAUAACCCUCGGAAACGGGGGCUAAUACCGAAUACGACCUGUCACUGCAUGGUGGUGGGUGGAAAGUUUUUCGGUCUGGGAUGGGCUCGCGGCCUAUCAGCUUGUUGGUGGGGUGAUGGCCUACCAAGGCGACGACGGGUAGCCGGCCUGAGAGGGCGACCGGCCACACUGGGACUGAGACACGGCCCAGACUCCUACGGGAGGCAGCAGUGGGGAAUAUUGCACAAUGGGCGGAAGCCUGAUGCAGCGACGCCGCGUGAGGGAUGACGGCCUC